Molecule: ribosomal RNA, 462 nt
Filed under: uncultured bacterium
Lineage: Bacteria
Description: partial 16S ribosomal RNA
Rfam family: Bacterial small subunit ribosomal RNA
Source: RNAcentral
GACGAACGCUGGCGGCGUGCUUAACACAUGCAAGUCGAACGGUGAAGCCCUUCGGGGUGGAUCAGUGGCGAACGGGUGAGUAACACGUGAGCAACCUGCCCCUGGCUCUGGGACAACCACUGGAAACGGUGGCUAAUACCGGAUACGACCCGCCUCGGCAUCGAGUGUGGGUGGAAAGUUUUUCGGCUGGGGAGGGGCUCGCGGCCUAUCAGCUUGUUGGUGAGGUGAAGGCUCACCAAGGCGACGACGGGUAGCCGGCCUGAGAGGGCGACCGGCCACACUGGGACUGAGACACGGCCCAGACUCCUACGGGAGGCAGCAGUGGGGAAUAUUGCACAAUGGGCGAAAGCCUGAUGCAGCGACGCCGCGUGAGGGAUGACGGCCUUCGGGUUGUAAACCUCUUUCAGCUCCGAAGAAGCGAAAGUGACGGUAGGAGCAGAAGAAGCACCGGCUAACUACGUG